UCUUCAACUUCUCACUUAGUGCUGACCAAGUGAUCCCCAGGAAAUCUGUGCUCGCUGAUUCUGCGUAAAAAGGGCCAGGAUCCUCUUGGGAGGAAUGCUGGCUCUGUUGACAUGGCCCAGCUAAGGGCAUCCUAUUGAAGUCAGUAGGUCACCAGGUGGAGGGGUGGCCUUCUUGGGGGUCAGUAGGCAGGGGAAGGGUCGGGCCGGGCAUGGACCAGCAAGCAGUGGUUGGUGGGGGGACUUCUGGGGAGCCGAAGCAGCAGCAGAGCCCUCCCAUUGCUUCUACACCCGAGAAGGCUGAAGGGGACUAGCCAGCCCGCGGAGCGGAACUGCGGCCAGCUGGGCAGGCUACAGGCAGCGGCUGGCAUGGGGAUGGUGGAACCUGACCAGCCACGGGGGGGCUCCCACUCUGUGGACGUUGCCAGCUUGGCUCACUGCAUCUCAGUUCCAUCUCUAUAGUGCUGAAUACAAAAAUAUCCAAUUCUACAGUACAGAUCCUUGCUCCACUUUCUUGUGAUCCUACUGGUGCUUUUAGAUGACUAUAGGG
Molecule: long non-coding RNA, 547 nt
Organism: Hemicordylus capensis (graceful crag lizard)
Lineage: Eukaryota; Metazoa; Chordata; Lepidosauria; Squamata; Cordylidae
Exons: 3
Source: RefSeq, a predicted model, not a curated record